AACGAAGCUGGCGGCAUGCUUAACACAUGCAAGUCGAACGCGUGGUCUCGGUUCGCCGGGGCCAUGAGUGGCGCACGGGUGAGUAGCGCGUGGGAACCUGCCCUCUUGUGGGGGAUAACCGAGGGAAACCUCGGCUAAUACCGCAUAAGCCGGAGAAAUCCGGGAAAGAUUUAUCGCGAGAGGAGGGGCCCGCGUCGGAUUAGCUUGUUGGUGGGGUAACGGCCUACCAAGGCGAUGAUCCGAGCUGGUCUGAGAGGAUGAUCAGCCACACUGGGACUGAGACACGGCCCAGACUCCUACGGGAGGCAGCAGUGGGGAAUAUUGGACAAUGGGCGCAAGCCUGAUCCAGCAAUGCCGCGUGAGUGAGGAAGGCCUUAGGGUUGUAAAGCUCUUUCACCCGCGACAAUGAUGACGGUAGCGGGAGAAGAAGCCCCGGCUAACUUCGUGCCAGCCGCCGCGGUAAU
RNAcentral lists this ribosomal RNA (464 nucleotides) under uncultured bacterium. Its description in RNAcentral is "bacterial SSU rRNA". It matches the Rfam family "Bacterial small subunit ribosomal RNA", at positions 35 to 524 of the family's 1533-position model. The record is from RNAcentral.